This is a non-coding RNA of Pelobates cultripes (western spadefoot toad), 210 nucleotides long. The record is from the annotation of a GenBank genome assembly. NCBI's taxonomy places the organism in Eukaryota, Metazoa, Chordata, Amphibia, Anura, Pelobatidae.
CUGUGAGUGAGUGUAUGUAUGUGUCUGAGUAUGUGUGUAUGUGUGUCUGUGAGUGAGUGUAUGUGUGUGUCUGAGUAUGUGUGUGUCUGAGUAUGUGUGUCUGUGAGUGUUUGUGUGUGUCUGUGAGUGUGUGUGUGUCUGUGAGUGAGUGUAUGUGUGUGUGUGUCUGUGUGCGCGCAUUUAUAUAUGCAUAUGAGUGCAUAAUUUUUA